GUUUGGUUAAGUUAGAAAGGGCGCACGGUGGAUGCCUUGACACUAGGAGUCGAUGAAGGACGGGACUAACGCCGAUAUGCUUCGGGGAGCUGUAAGUAAGCUUUGAUCCGAAGAUUUCCGAAUGGGGAAACCCACCAUACGUAAUGGUAUGGUAUCCUUAUCUGAAUACAUAGGGUAAGGAAGACAGACCCAGGGAACUGAAACAUCUAAGUACCUGGAGGAAGAGAAAGCAAAUGCGAUUUCCUGAGUAGCGGCGAGCGAAACGGAACAUAGCCCAAACCAAGAGGCUUGCCUCUUGGGGUUGUAGGACAUUCUAUACGGAGUUACAAAGGAACGAGGUAGACGAAGCGACCUGGAAAGGUCCGUCGUAGAGGGUAACAACCCCGUAGUCGAAACUUCGUUCUCUCUUGAAUGUAUCCUGAGUACGGCGGAACACGUGAAAUUCCGUCGGAAUCUGGGAGGACCAUCUCCCAAGGCUAAAUACUCCCUAGUGAUCGAUAGUGAACCAGUACCGUGAGGGAAAGGUGAAAAGCACCCCGGAAGGGGAGUGAAAGAGAUCCUGAAACCGUGUGCCUACAAAUAGUCAGAGCCCGUUAACGGGUGAUGGCGUGCCUUUUGUAGAAUGAACCGGCGAGUUACGAUCCCGUGCGAGGUUAAGCUGAAGAGGCGGAGCCGCAGCGAAAGCGAGUCUGAAUAGGGCGUUUAGUACGUGGUCGUAGACCCGAAACCAGGUGAUCUACCCAUGUCCAGGGUGAAGUUCAGGUAACACUGAAUGGAGGCCCGAACCCACGCACGUUGAAAAGUGCGGGGAUGAGGUGUGGGUAGCGGAGAAAUUCCAAUCGAACCUGGAGAUAGCUGGUUCUCCCCGAAAUAGCUUUAGGGCUAGCCUUAAGUGUAAGAGUCUUGGAGGUAGAGCACUGAUUGGACUAGGGGUCCUCAUCGGAUUACCGAAUUCAGUCAAACUCCCAAUGCCAAUGACUUAUCCUUAGGAGUCAGACUGCGAGUGAUAAGAUCCGUAGUCAAAAGGGAAACAGCCCAGACCGCCAGCUAAGGUCCCAAAGUGUGUAUUAAGUGGAAAAGGAUGUGGAGUUGCUUAGACAACUAGGAUGUUGGCUUAGAAGCAGCCACCAUUUAAAGAGUGCGUAAUAGCUCACUAGUCGAGUGACUCUGCGCCGAAAAUGUACCGGGGCUAAAUACACCACCGAAGCUGCGGAUUGAUACCGAAUGGUAUCAGUGGUAGGGGAGCGUUCUAAGGACAGUGAAGUCAGACCGGAAGGACUGGUGGAGUGCUUAGAAGUGAGAAUGCCGGUAUGAGUAGCGAAAGACGGGUGAGAAUCCCGUCCACCGAAUGCCUAAGGUUUCCUGAGGAAGGCUCGUCCGCUCAGGGUUAGUCAGGACCUAAGCCGAGGCCGACAGGCGUAGGCGAUGGACAACAGGUUGAUAUUCCUGUACCACCUCUUUAUCGUUUGAGCAAUGGAGGGACGCAGAAGGAUAGAAGAAGCGUGCGAUUGGUUGUGCACGUCCAAGCAGUUAGGCUGAUAAGUAGGCAAAUCCGCUUAUC
This 1561-nucleotide ribosomal RNA is filed under the name Bacillus cereus. RNAcentral describes it as "partial 23S ribosomal RNA". It matches the Rfam family "Bacterial large subunit ribosomal RNA", at positions 1 to 1550 of the family's 2925-position model. The record is from RNAcentral. Lineage: Bacteria; Bacillati; Bacillota; Bacilli; Caryophanales; Bacillaceae.